This 492-nucleotide ribosomal RNA is filed under the name uncultured bacterium. RNAcentral's name for it is "partial 16S ribosomal RNA". It matches the Rfam family "Bacterial small subunit ribosomal RNA", at positions 29 to 507 of the family's 1533-position model. The record is from RNAcentral.
AGUGAACGCUGGCGGUAGGCCUAACACAUGCAAGUCGAACGGCAGCACAGUAAGAGCUUGCUCUUACGGGUGGCGAGUGGCGGACGGGUGAGGAAUACAUCGGAAUCUACUUUUUCGUGGGGGAUAACGUAGGGAAACUUACGCUAAUACCGCAUACGACCUACGGGUGAAAGCAGGGGAUCUUCGGACCUUGCGCGAUUGAAUGAGCCGAUGUCGGAUUAGCUAGUUGGCGGGGUAAAGGCCCACCAAGGCGACGAUCCGUAGCUGGUCUGAGAGGAUGAUGAGGCACACUGGAAGUGAGACACGGUCCAGACUCCUACGGGAGGCAGCAGUGGGGAAUAUUGGACGAUGGGCGCAAGCCUGAUCCAGCCAUACCGCGUGAGUGAAGAAGGCCUUCGGGUUGUAAAGCCCUUUUGUUGGGAAAGAAAAGCAGCAGGUUAAUACCCCGCUGUUCUGACGGUACCCAAAGAAUAAGCACCGGCUAACUUCGUG